AUUGAACGCUGGCGGCAGGCCUAACACAUGCAAGUCGAGCGGAAGAAGGGAGCUUGCUCCUGGAUUCAGCGGCGGACGGGUGAGUAAUGCCUAGGAAUCUGCCUGGUAGUGGGGGAUAACGUCCGGAAACGGGCGCUAAUACCGCAUACGUCCUGAGGGUGAAAGUGGGGGAUCUUCGGACCUCACGCUAUCAGAUGAGCCUAGGUCGGAUUAGCUAGUUGGUGGGGUAAAGGCCUACCAAGGCGACGAUCCGUAACUGGUCUGAGAGGAUGAUCAGUCACACUGGAACUGAGACACGGUCCAGACUCCUACGGGAGGCAGCAGUGGGGAAUAUUGGACAAUGGGCGAAAGCCUGAUCCAGCCAUGCCGCGUGUGUGAAGAAGGUCUUCGGAUUGUAAAGCACUUUAAGUUGGGAGGAAGGGCAGUAAGUUAAUACCUUGCUGUUUUGACGUUACCAACAGAAUAAGCACCGGCUAACUUCGUG
This 484-nucleotide ribosomal RNA is filed under the name uncultured bacterium. Its description in RNAcentral is "partial 16S ribosomal RNA". It matches the Rfam family "Bacterial small subunit ribosomal RNA", at positions 30 to 507 of the family's 1533-position model. The record is from RNAcentral.